CCUACGGGGGGCUGCAGUGAGGAAUAUUGGUCAAUGGACGAGAGUCUGAACCAGCCAAGUAGCGUGAAGGAUGACUGCCCUAUGGGUUGUAAACUUCUUUUAUAUGGGAAUAAAAUGUUCCACGUGUGGGAUUUUGUAUGUACCAUAUGAAUAAGGAUCGGCUAACUCCGUGCCAGCAGCCGCGGUGAUACGGAGGAUCCGAGCGUUAUCCGGAUUUAUUGGGUUUAAAGGGAGCGUAGGUGGAUUGUUAAGUCAGUUGUGAAAGUUUGCGGCUCAACCGUAAAAUUGCAGUUGAAACUGGCAGUCUGGAGUACAGUAGAGGUGGGCGGAAUUCGUGGUGUAGCGGUGAAAUGCUUAGAUAUCACGAAGAACUCCGAUUGCGAAGGCAGCUCACUGGACUGCAACUGACACUGAGGCUCGAAAGUGUGGGUAUCAAACAGGAUUAGAUACCCCGGUAGUC
This 460-nucleotide ribosomal RNA is filed under the name uncultured bacterium. RNAcentral describes it as "partial 16S ribosomal RNA". It matches the Rfam family "Bacterial small subunit ribosomal RNA", at positions 338 to 795 of the family's 1533-position model. The record is from RNAcentral.